Eriocheir sinensis (Chinese mitten crab) is the source of this 11244-nucleotide RNA transcript. It is a transcript of the gene named protein bicaudal D-like, with no coding region annotated. The record is from RefSeq and is a predicted model, not a curated record. NCBI's taxonomy places the organism in Eukaryota, Metazoa, Arthropoda, Malacostraca, Decapoda, Varunidae. The transcript is spliced from 17 exons.
CUCGCCCUGGCCGGAGGAACAUCAACAUGGCCCUGCUGGGGACCUCCUCGGGCUGACAUUAUUUACGUUUACCGCUCAUCCCCGCCAUUAAUACGCGCCACAACCUCACAGAAGACAAAAUGGAGAACGUGGACACUUUACAGAAGGAGGUGGAGCGGCUGCACUUGGAGUUGGACCAGACGAGCAGCGAGAAGAAGCAGGCGGCCCAAUAUGGACUGGUCUUGCUGGAGGAGAAGGAGAAUUUACAGCAGCGAUGCGACGACCUGGAGGCGCUCUACGAGAACACCAAGUCGGAACUAGAGAGCACGAGGGAGGCGCUGGCCAAGUUCCAGACGACCCACCGCGUGACGACAGCCAGCGGCAUCGAGACGGAGGAGAGCCUGCUGUCAGAGUCCGCUGCUCGGGAGACGUCGCUCAACUCACAGAUCAUUGAGUUGGAGCUGGAGGCCAAGCAGUGCCGUGCCGAGCUAGAACGCGUGCAGAGCGAGAAGUCCCGCUACUACACUGAGCUUGCCGACCACCUCAAGGAGAAGGACAUAUCAGACCAUGAGAAGAAGCAGCUCAAGGCCGAACUCAAGGACCUCAAGUUCAGAGAGACACGGCUCUUCCAGGACUAUGCCGAGCUGGAGGACGAGAACAUCACACUCCAGAAGCAGAUAUCCAACCUUAAAUCCUCACAGGUGGAGUUCGAGGGCGCCAAACAUGAGAUCCGCAGGCUACAGGAGGAGACGGAGGUGCUCAAUCAACAGGUGGAGGAGCUCGCCAACCUCAAGAAGAUCGCGGAGAGGCAGAUGGAAGAGGCGCUGGAGUCCCUGCAGGCGGAACGUGAGGCCAAGUACGCACUGAAGAAGGAGCUGGACGGACGCAUGAAUUCUGAGUCCAUGUACAACCUCUCGAACCUGGCGAUGAGCAUGAAGCUGUCAGGGAGCACGGACUUCGGCGAGAGCGAUGGCGAGGAUGACACCCCAGUGCUGCGUCGCCUGGAGUCGGAGUUGAUGAGCGCUGGAGGGGGAACGGCCGAGAUGGGGGGUGACCUCUUCUCCGAGAUCCACCUCAACGAACUGCGCAAGCUGGAGAAGAAGCUGGAGGAGGCAGACCACGAGAAGUCCCAGCUCACCACCAACCUGAAGGAGAGUCAGGAAGGUCUGGAGAAGGCACGCGGGGAGCUUGACGCCCAGCACGCCCGGGUCUCGCACCUCCUGGGACACAUCUCGGCACUGGUGAAGCUACAUGAACAGGAGAACCCCAACCAGAUGAACGCAGAGGACUCGGCCAACCUCGUGAGUUUCCUGGAGAAGCAGAAGUCGCGUUACCAGGUUGCAGCGCGGGAGAUCACCGAGCUGAAGAAGAGCCUGGCCGAGAUACAGAAUUCCGACGGGGGCACGGCCAGCGACGCAGUGCAGCAGCUGAGGAACGAAGUGGGGACGCUGAGGGCAAGGCUGAUCGACGCGGAGCAGAAGUCCAUCGACCUCGGGAAUGACGUCAGCAUCCUCAGCCAGAUGAUGAACGGCCGGGAAGGGUCACUCUCCAUCACCAGGAACGACCUUGGCACCAUCAGCGAGGAGUUGGCGCAGCUGUACCACCACGUGUGUACCGUCAAUGGUGAGACUCCCUCCAGGGUUCUCCUCGACCACAGCAAGCAGGGACACACCACGGACAAAGGCGAUGGAGAGAGCACCAAGCCUUCCUCCCCCACCUCAGCCGCCGUGUCCAACCUGGAAGCCCUUCGCUGCAAACUCCGAACAGACGUCACCCUCUCGGACUUUGUUGACAACAGUGACCCAGCGGUGGUGCGUGAGAUUGUUGACACCAUCGUGGACCAGAUCCGGCACCUCAAGAAGUCCGUGGAGCACACCAUUGAGCUCAGCAAGGAGAAGGGGCUCGUCAGGGAGUCUGCGGCGUCCGACAGUGGUCUAAGCGAGAGCGAGGUUCAGGAGCUACAGGAACAGGUCAUCAAACUCAAGUCCCUGCUGUCCACCAAGAGGGAGCAGAUCGCAACACUCCGCACCGUGCUCAAGGCCAACAAACAGACCGCAGAGGUGGCCUUGGCAAACCUCAAGUCCAAGUACGAGACCGAGAAGAGUAUCGUCUCGGAGACCAUGAUGAAGCUGAGGAACGAACUGCGUCUGCUGAAGGAGGACGCUGCCACCUUCUCCAGCCUGCGAGCGAUGUUUGCCGCCCGCUGCGAGGAGUACGUGACCCAGCUGGAUGAGGUGCAGAGACAGCUGGUGGCGGCCGAGGAGGAGAAGAAGACCCUCAACUCCCUCCUGCGUAUGGCUAUCCAGCAGAAGCUCGCCCUCACUCAGCGACUCGAGGACAUGGAGUGCGACAGAGAGAGGUUCAACAUGCGCAAGCACACGGGCAGUCGGGGUCGCGCUCACAGCUCCCGCUUCAACAACCAACCCCACGGCUCCUCCACCCAGCACCACUACCAGCGACGGGACAACUACUAGACCAGCACUCCCCCCAACCCCCCUCGCAUCACCCCCCUUCGUCUCACCCCUCCCGACCCCCCCCUACACACCCCUUUCCAGUCCGUAUAUCGCUAGGUCAGUUCAGUCUUAUUUUGCCUCUUUUGUAGUCUUUCCUAUCCCUUUCACAUUUUUUAUUAGUCCUCCCUGAUUUUAUUUUUCCCAUUUUAUUUUCUCCCACUUGUUCCUUUCAUUUUUCCGGUCAUUUUUGUUACUUUACCGCCAUGCCCUUCUCUGUUUUCCUCCUUUUUUUUAAUCCUCUUUUUUCCUACCCAUCCGCCCCAUCUCAGCUGUUCCCGCCAUUCUUGUUCCACCGUUCCGUGGUCUCACUCCUUGGUUGUAUUUAUUCUUUGCUCCGUCGUGGGUCCAGGCAGUGAGUGAGGUGGACUGGUGUUGGCCAUACUGCGUGUGGUUUUAUUUUAUUUUAGUCUGUACGCAACUGAGUCUGUUUGUGUUCUCCCGGCUGUCUCCUUUCGUCUGUUUUUAAUUUCCUCCUCGGUAGCUAUGCAGCCUUGUCUCAAAGAGUAGUAUUUUUAUGAUGUGUUUGUCCGGCAGAAUCACUUCAUUGACAGAGGGGGCCUCGGCACACCUCCUUAAGUCGUUCUACCUGUGUUUUUAUGGUCACACGGCACCUGAUUGUUUGUGUUCACUGCACGUUGCUCGGGGGAAUUUUAGCGUUAAAUUUGGACACCUGGCAGCACUGUACAGCUUUAUGUAUCUCAGCACUCACUGGGUUUUAUUUAUUUAUUUAUGUCUUGCGUUGUUUGGAAUCUCACAGGCUUCAAGUGGUGGGUGAGCAUCUGUGUUGUGGCGGCCGUGAGCUUGUUGACGGCACUUUGGUUUUUAUCACGUAGCAAAGUUGCGGCCAUUCAGCUUUAUGAGACAACAGAGGCUUUGGCAAUUGGACCAUUUUAAGCAGGCAGUUUCCUUUUAUUGGUGUGUUAUAAUUCUGCCACGGUUCACUGGGGCAGUUUUAAGCUGCAUGAGAUGACAAAAGCUUCACCAAUUUUACGAUUUUAAACGGGGACAAUUUCUCUUUAUUGUUUUGUAUUUGUGUUAUUUUGACGCAGUUCACUUCAGGAGUUUUACCAUAAUAAGUCUGGAUAGUUUUAUUUGUAUUAUAGUGACAUUGUUUUUGCCGGCAGUUUUACUCAAGACACAUACGUUAUUGGCAUUGGUAGUCUGAUACAGUUGACGGUUUUACCAUAAUAAGCCCAGACACUCGUUUUAUUGUCAUCAUCGUUCUGACACGGUUCGGGAAUGUACUUAAACCCGCCAGGCCUCUUGCACCAAAGCCUUCAUCUGUGCACCCAACCAGCAGCUACUUGUGACUAGGGAAGGGAAGGAGUGGCCGAGGAGAGAGCCAGAGAGCAUUGUUGUACUUACCCCACGAAGGCCUUUCUCAUGCUGGCCUUUAUAGUCUUGUAAGGCAGUGAUGGUGGGUAGCAUGUGUUGUGUGUGGCAAUGUGCUGUUCAGGUCCUGUCAGUGCUUAGGUAAGGUUUGGAUUUUUUUAAGGCCUGGUGGUUGUACAGGCAAGCGUUUAUAGUGGUGCCAAGUUGCUUGUCUCAUGCUGCCUCCCAGAGCUCAUUUUUGAUCCUCUUUAGAGAGAAUCUAGAGUCUGGGUUGACAGGUGGUAUUCAGGACAUCAUGUGGGUAGUUUUGGGCCACUUGGUGAUGGUUGAAAAAUUGCCAGCUUGUUUGUAGUGUUGGGUGGGAUGUGAACCUGUGUCCACGCUGACCACUCAUCCACCACCUCCCACACACUGUUACUCAUGCCACCCUCCCAUCAGUGCGCCGAGACUUUUUACUCCAAGGGGAAGGAAGGCAAGUGAGGAGAGAGUGUGUGUGAGACUUGCCUUGCCAUCCACCUGUAUAUUAUUAGUGUGUGUGUGUGUCCCGUGUCCUGUCCCGUCCCUCCCUCCCUCCCUCCAUGCAGUCCCUGUCUGUUAUUAACUCCUGUGUUCUUGUGUGUUAGCCUUUGUGGCCAAUAUUUGGCUGAUAGAGAGAGAGUGUGUGUCUGUAUGUGUGUCUAACCUUGGCUCAUGUUCCGAAACGCUCUGAACUUUUGGUACGGUUAUAUUUUCAAAGACGGCAGGUCGGUUUGGUUCUUCAGGGGUCAGAAUUAUUGUACAACUUAUCAAUAGAGUCUUAUAAUGCCCCAUAAAAGAGGAUUCCAAGCUCUUGUUACAUAUAUAUUUUCAAAGACAUCAGAGGUUGGAUUUGAUCAUGGGUGUUGUUUUCCUCUAAGUGGCAUCAAAUCAUUGUAAAACUUGUCAAUAGAGUCUUAUAAUGCCCCAUAAAAGAGAGGAUUCCAAGCUCUUGUAACAUAUAUAUUUUCAAAGACAUCAGAGGUUGGCUAGAUCAUGGGUGUUGUUUUCCUCUAAGUGGCAUCAAAUCAUUGUAAAACUUGUCAAUAGAGUCUUGUAAGGCCCCCAAAAAGAUAGAUACAAGCAAUAUAGGUCAAAAAGUAAGAAAACGGAACAGCCACGAAAAAUUUGACCUUCCACGCUAGGCUUUCAAACUCGUACAUAGGUCUCGAGACAUUUUAGAACUUGAGCUUGAGUGAGUGAGUGACUGUUCCUCGGUAGCUAUGUUAAGUUUAGCCCUAUUUAACAAACCUCUACUUAACGCAAAUUGGAUUUAUUAUUAUCAUUAUUAUUAUUAUUAUUGGAGUAUUAUAUAAACCUUACCGAACAUUUUUAUAUAAACCAACUUUUUGUUUUAUUUGAUACCUUUUUUGUCAUUGUUUUUAUUAACGUUUGAUACGGCAAUAUUUUUUAAAGAGUCGAGAGUUGAUUUUUAUUUUGGUAAUGCGAUUUUAGCUUCUGUAAAUGAGAUACUAUACAAGGGAAUUCAAUACCUUUUAGUCUUUAUUUCUGUCAUUAUUUCAUACGACAAUUUUUUCUAGCAGUCGAAGGUUAAUUUUUAUUCUGGUAACAUCUAUUAACUUCUGUAUUUUUUAUUUAUUUAUUUAUUUAUUUUUUUUACAUCCCCACCUAUAGCGCCAGAUGGUCGGCCCAAACCUGUCAUGGCGCAGGCAGGUUUUAUAGUGGCGCCAGUUAUGCUUGGCUCAUGCUGCCCCCCGGAACUCAUUCUUGAUUCACUGGACAGCUUCUUCUAGAGUCCGGGUUGAUGGGUGGUCUUCUGGACAGCAUGUGGGUAGUCUUAGGCCACUCGGAGGUGACUGAAAAAUCCCAGGUGGUAGCGUGGGGAUUCAAAUCGACAUUGUCCAUGGCGCAGUGAAUGUGAGCCCAGCACGCUAACCACUCAGCCACCUAAUCAGUAUACUAAUAAGGUUUUGAUAUGUGACGAACUCUUGGAUAUAGUAACCUGAUGUCCCCUCGAUUAGUUUGCCAUAUAGAGAGGGUUUGGGAGUGGGCGAAGCCAUAUCAGUGACGAGAGAGAGAGAGAGAGAGAGAGAGAGAGAGAGAGAGAGAGGCAGCAUUGGUGAUAUAUUCAUAGAUAGCUUUUGAGAAAUAACCCAGUGCCCCAUAAAAGAAGAAGAGGUGCUGUGUUGGUGAUAAACUAGAGACAGAGAGAGAGUUAUUUAGUGUCGCAUAGAGAGAGUGUUGGUGAUAUAUUAAUACUUAGUAGCUUGAAAGACAAUGUUUAGUGCAGUCUAGCGCUUCAGAACGUAAUCAUCUGGCUUGUAUAGGGAAACUGACUUGUUCGUAGAGUGAAAUGGUGGAAAAAGUUUGGGUCAGCUUCUUGUUAUAUUUUGUCAGGACUCUCAGUUGGUGGAGUUAGUUGAGGUUUAGUGUUUUAUAUUACUCCUGAAUUAUGUUUCCCAGUCAUUCUCACCUUCAGAUAAUCAUGUUUCAGUCUUGUUCAGUGAUUGUGUGUGUGUGUGUGUGUGUGUGUGUUUCUUAUGCAAUAUUGUCAGGUCCCUCAUUUACUAGUGUUGGUUGGGUUUAGUGUUGCAUUAUAUCAGCCAUGAAUUAUCUGUUUCCAGGGCAUUUCCACCUCCAGAUUAUUGGUUUUCAGUCCUGUUCAGUGAUGUUACUUGUGUUGUGUUUGUCUAUAUUGAUGCAGCUGGUCAUAGUGAAAGGCAUUGUCACUCUAUAUACCUCCCAAAUCAUCACUUUUCCAGUCGAUUUUCCCUCAAGAUUAUCACGUUUUAGUCCUGUUCAGUGAUGUUGUGUGUGUGUUUCUUAUGCAGUUUCGUCAGGUCUCACAGUUUCUGGUGUUGGUUGAGGAUCAGUGUUUCAUAUUUGUUUUCCAGUCGAUUUUCCCUCAAGAUUAUCGCGUUUUAGUCCUGUUCAGUGAUGUUGCGUGUGUGUUUCUUAUGCAGUUUUGUCAGGUCUCACAGUUGCUGGUGUUGGUCAGGUGAAGCAUUGUAUCAUGUCACUCCUGAAUCAUCUCUUUCCCAGACGUUUUUGCCUUAAGAUUAUUGCGUUUCAGUCUUGUUCAGUGGUGUUGUUUGUGUUGUUACGUGUGUGUUUCUUAUGCAGUUUGUCAGGAGUUGAAGUUAAGUGUUGCGUCAUCUGUUUCUGGGGCAUUUCCACCUCCAGAUUAUUGGUUUUCAGUGUCUAUUCAGUGAUGUUACUUGUGUGUGUUGGUGUGUGUGUUUCUUAUAUAGUUUUUCAGGUAGCACAGUUGUUGGUUGUAUUGGAAAGCUCUCUAUCGCUCUGUUUCACCUCCAGAUGGUCAGCUUUUCAAAUCAAUUGCAUCUCAGGAUUAUCAUUUUUCAGUCUAUAUUCAGUGAUGUUACUUGUGUGUGUAUGUGUGUAUGUUUCUUGUAUAGGUUUUUCAGUGGUAUUGAAAAGCUCCCUGUCACUUUAUUUCACCCCCAAAGUAUUGUUUUCUCAAGGCAUUUUCAUCUCGAGGUCAUUGCGUUUCAGUCAGUUCAGUGAUGUUACUUGUGUGUGUGUGUAUGUGUGUUUCUUGUAUAGUUUUUCAGGUAGCACAGUCGUUGGUUGUAUUGAUGAGUUCUCCGACGCUUUGUUUCGACCCCAAGGUAUCGUUUUCUGAAGGCAUUUUCAUCUCGAGGUCAUUGUGUUUCAGUCUAUUCAGUGAUGUUACUUGUGUGUGUGUGUGUGUAUUUUUCUCAUAUAGUUUUUCAGGUAGCACAGUUGUUGGUUGUAUUGAUGAGUUCUCCGACGCUUUGUUUCGACCCCAAGGUAUCGUUUUCUUCAGGCAUUUUCAUCUCGAGGUCAUUGCGUUUCAGUCAAUUCAGUGAUAUUACGUGUGUGUGUGUGUUUCUUGUUUUUCAGUGGUAUUCAAAAGCUUUCUGUCACUGUUUUGUUCUCGUUUUCUGAAGUCAUUUUCCAGUGGUUCAUUGUAUUGUGCCGUGAGUUCGUGUGUGUGUUUCAGUAGAUACAUCCUUUUUUCCGUCACAGCCAGUGUACAUAUCUCCUUUGUUUUGACGUCCCAGCUUCCUUUCCGUGUCAUUCGGCUCAUCUGUGGACAUUUUCUAGGCAUAACGGUGUUUUUUAAGGGCCGGUGUAUGUGUUAGCCUGCCGGUAGAUAUGCAGGCAACUCACCCUCGACAGUGUGUGUGUGUGUGUGUGUGUGGCGCGGUGCUGCUGCUGUGGUAGGACCCUUGUGGCAUCUCUCAAUGUGUUGCGGCAGUGUAAGUCUUGACUGAUGGUGAGGUGAUGCACACUGGCAAGUAUACUAUGGUGACUCGGUAAGGGACGGGUCAGACUAAGAAUGUAGGGUCGGAAGUGUUGUGCCUUACAGCGGUGUGUGAGAUAUGAGACAUUGUAGCCUGCAAAAGAAAGAGAGAUAGAUAGAAAGAGAGAGAGAGAGAGAGGAGUCCCCUGGCUGCCCACGACAAUGCUAGAGUAUAUAUGUAGAUCACUGUGUUGGAUGACGUAGCACUUGCCGAAAAGAACUGUAUAGCAGAUUGCACUUAUCAUACCACUGAGCAUCCUUGUAUUAUCUCAAGCUUUCAUUUGUCAAGUAUAAGGGAGGGACUGACGAUGCUUAGAGAUAUGCGUGUCGGGAUGAUUUAGUUUGCGCUGAAAAAGUUGUGUAGGAGAUUGUAUUUAUCACACCACUCAGCAGCUUUGUACGUCAUAACACAAGCUUUCAUUUGUCAAGUAUAAGGGAGGGACUGAUGAUGCUUAGAGAUAUGCGUGCGGGGAUGAUUUAGUUUGCGCUGAAAAAGUUGUGUAGGAGAUUGUAUUUAUCACACCACUCAGCAGCUUUGUAAGUCUUAACACAAGCUUUCAUUUGUCAAGUAUAAGGGAGGGACUGACGAUGCUUAGAGAUAUGCGUGUCGGAAUGAUUUAGUUUGCGCUGAAAAAGUUGUGUAGGAGAUUGUAUUUAUCACAUCACUCAGCAGCUUUGUACGUCAUAACACAAGCUUUUAUUUGUCAAGUUAAAGAGGAAAUGACGCCAGGAUAUCGCUGUUUACGGAAAGAUUUUGCACUCGCUGAAGAGAACCGUGUAGGAGAUAGCAUUUAUCACACCACUCAGCAGCUUUGUACGUCAUAACACAAGCUUUUAUUUGUCAAGUUAAAGAGGAAAUGACGCCAGGAUAUCGCUGUUUCCGGAGAGAUUUCGCACUCGCUGAAGAGAACCGUGUAGGAGAUCGCAUUUAUCACACCACUCAGCAGCUUUGUACGUCAUAACACAAGCUUUUAUUUGUCAAGUUAAGAGAAGAAAUGAAGCCAGGAUAUCACUGUUUACGGAGAGAUUUCACACUCGCUGAAGAGAACCGUGUAGGAGAUAGCAUUUAUCACACCACUCAGCAGCUUUGUACGUCAUAACACAAGCUUUUAUUUGUCAAGUUAAAGAGGAAAUGACGCCAGGAUAUCGCUGUUUACGGAGAGAUUUCACACUCGCUGAAAAGAACCGCGUGUCAGGCUGUCUAGUGCACUGUUCCACCAGCAUCAUAUUAUCGCAAGCUUUUAUUUGUCAAGCAUAGAGGAGGUGUUGAUGCUAAGGAAUCAACAUGGUGAAAGGAUUUAGCACAUGCCUGUCACUGGUAGACGUUACAUAUUUAUUGCAAGUGUGAACUCCGAGGGGAAGAGGAGAUGAUCAGUGUUUGACUCCCUCGAAUCUCACCGAUUAAUUUCCUUCACUGUGUUCGUAUAGAGUUCUUAGCCGACAAAACGGUACUUGAUUACAUUCCGUCGCCUGCUUGUCCAGAGAAAUUACGUGUUUAAGCGAUGAGUCCAUUGGUACAGAGGAUUUACGUAUACAAGCGACGACUCCAUUGGUCCAGAGAAAUUAUAUGUACAAGCGCCGACUCCAUUGGUCCAGAGGAAUUACGUAUACAAGCGAUGACUCCAUUGGUCCAGAGGAAUUACGUAUACAAGGACUAAUUCUCCAUUCGUCCAGAAAUUAUGUAUACAAGAACUGACUCCAAUGGUCCAAAAAUCACGUAUAUAAACAUUGAUUCUCCAUUGGUCCAGAAAAAUUGCAUAUAUGACUACUGAUUCUCCAUUUGUCCAGAUUAAUUACGUAUACAAGGACUGACUCUCCGUUGGUCCAGAGAAAUUACGUAUAUUAUAAGCAAUGAUUCCUUUAUGUCACUGAUUGUCCGAGGAACUUUAAAACCACUUCUGUCGCCUGGUUUGUGCAACGAUUCACUUGAUUCCGUCUCCGCGUUUGUCCGUAAAAUUCUAAUAACUAAAAAUUUGUUAAGUCCAUUACGACACUGUCCCAAAAAUUUACAAAACCGAACCCCUUCCGUCACUCUUGUAUGGCCACCAGGUAUGACCCCUUCCUGUGCAUACCUGCCUGGUGGAUCGUCACACCUGUACAUGGUUCGUUAGUGUUACUACAGGUGGGAAACUCGACAGGUGGAGAGAACCAGGUGUUGAGUCCUAUACAGAUGGAAGGGAAAGCUGUGUGUAUGUACGUAUGUGUGUUUGUCCUUCUUAAUGGUAUCGGUCCUUGGAACUUCAUCCCUCCGCAGAGAGAGAGAGAGAGAGAGAGAAGGAGAAUUGCUUACGAAAACGAUAUAGUUACGUACCAGUUAUACCGUAAGUGUUUUAUAAUAUAUAGAUAGAGAGACCAUUUAUAAAAGAAUAUUAGGCGUGCGUGUCUGUGUGUGUGUGUGUGUGUGUGUGUGAUUUCGUAGGUAAUUUAUUCCGCGCUUAAAAAAAAAAUUACUUAGCGGAAAAAAAAGGAGAAAGUUACCAGGAAAUAAUUACGUGUGUGUGUUUGCGAGUUCGUCUUUAUUUCCCUACGACCUUACAAACUAAUUCCAAGUGAGUUCGAAACGAGAAUUACAACCGGACAAGAAAAAUACCGAGAGAAAAUGCCAAGGCUACAUGUCUCCUAAUUCCCGGUCUAUUUCUACACCAUCCAAGAACCAUAAAUUCCCAAUCGAAACCAAGGGAAAAUACCAACAGACAUUCCUACGACUAAUGCUCCCAAAUUCCCAGUCAACUUUUAUGCUAUUGAAAAAAAAUCUGUUAAUGCCCAACUGAGCUGAGUAUUUGUAUUAACCCAAAAAUUUAUGUGGAAUUAUUUAACCCACCAAGAAAGAAAGAAAAAUGCGGAAAUUAUCUCAUUUUUGUACUGCGACGUAAUUCUCAGACCGAAGGAGAAAGAAAGGAAAGGAAAGGAAGGAAAGAAAAAUAUAACCCAACCGACUAAUUUGUAACAGAGACAACCAAAAGAAAGAAAGAAAGAAAGAAAAAGAAAACAUGGUAAUUCUCACUUUUGUACUUAGACGUAAUUCACAAACCAAAAAAGAGCGAACUGAUGGAAAGAAAGGUCAAACAAGCGGUCUAUCUAGAUUCUUAAGGCAGAGAUUGUAAAAGUAUUUGUACAUUAGUGAUAUCAUACUUUACAAUAAAACAAAUAUUUCCU